RNAcentral lists this ribosomal RNA (466 nucleotides) under uncultured bacterium. Its description in RNAcentral is "partial 16S ribosomal RNA". It matches the Rfam family "Bacterial small subunit ribosomal RNA", at positions 28 to 507 of the family's 1533-position model. The record is from RNAcentral.
GAUGAACGCUGGCGGCGUGCUUAACACAUGCAAGUCGAACGAUGAAGCCCAGCUUGCUGGGUGGAUUAGUGGCGAACGGGUGAGUAACACGUGAGUAACCUGCCCUUAACUCUGGGAUAAGCCUGGGAAACUGGGUCUAAUACCGGAUAGGAGCGCCUACCGCAUGGUGGGUGUUGGAAAGAUUUAUCGGUUUUGGAUGGACUCGCGGCCUAUCAGCUUGUUGGUGAGGUAAUGGCUCACCAAGGCGACGACGGGUAGCCGGCCUGAGGGGGUGACCGGCCACACUGGGACUGAGACACGGCCCAGACUCCUACGGGAGGCAGCAGUGGGGAAUAUUGCACAAUGGGCGAAAGCCUGAUGCAGCGACGCCGCGUGAGGGAUGACGGCCUUCGGGUUGUAAACCUCUUUCAGUAGGGAAGAAGCGAAAGUGACGGUACCUGCAGAAGAAGCACCGGCUAACUACGUG